This 1303-nucleotide long non-coding RNA is filed under the name Oryza brachyantha (malo sina). RNAcentral's name for it is "long non-coding RNA (OBRA_LNC000174)". The record is from RNAcentral. Lineage: Eukaryota; Viridiplantae; Streptophyta; Magnoliopsida; Poales; Poaceae.
AGAAGGGCCUUGGCCGUAGAGGGAGUUCAAAAAACUAAGUAAUUAAAAAUGUCUGGGGACAACCUUUAUCGGAGCAGGGCGGGAAGCAGGCUAGCUAGCAGUAAACAGUACUAGCACAGUAGUCUGAAACUUUGUACUGCUUCAAGCUAUACAGUCCACGGCUCCACGCUGCUUCCAGGCGAUUUCUGCCUCUACGCAUUCUGUAUUGUCCUUCUUCUCAUGAACUGAGGGCGGACUGGAAGCAUCCAACACAUAUGGGCAUGAACAAUGCAUGAAUCCUUAAGCCAUGUAGACUUAAUCCCUCAAUUAAAAUUUGGGCUUUACACAGUACAAGGACCUCAAGAAAUGGUCUUAACUUAUCAAAUCAGCCCCUAAUAUUUUAUAGAUUUGCAUUUAGGUCCAAACUUUUAUCCACAGCACCUCACAAGCAUCAAACUAAUAUAGAAUACCCCCAAACCACUUUCCCCUCCCUCACGGUCACCGACGUGGAUCUGGAGGCCAGGGCUGGAGCUUCGGCAACAGGGCGGGAGAUUCGGCGGCGGGACGUGGAGGUCGGGAGGGGGGGCAGAGCUCGGGUGGCAAGGGGUGCUCCGGCGACGGGUCGCGAAUGUCGAGGACGGGCGGCGUGGCGUGGCUCCAGCGGGCGGAGCUCCGGCGACGGGGCACGGAGGGAGGGAGAUCCGGUGGCGGGGCGUGGAUGUCGAGGGGCGAAGCUCCGACGGCGGGCACGGCUCCGCCGGCGCAGAAGUCAGGCGAAGCUCCGGCGAGCAGACCUUGGGCGGUAGGGCACGGCUCCAGCGGGCGGAGCUCGGGCAGCGAGGCGCGGCUCCGCCAGCGCGAUUGUCGGGUCUGACGCAGCUCCGGGGAGCGGGGCUUGGGCGACGGAGCUCCGGCGACAAAGUGCGGCUCCGACGAGCGGAGCUUGGUCACGCUCCACGUGAGGAGGCGCUGCACCCACCUUUCUCUGACGAAUCUGACAAAGACACCAUCCCUUGCAGAAACAGCUCUACAGAGCCACCAUCCUCCGCACCUUCUCUUCUCUCCAAGUAAGCACGAUGCCUACGUAAAGAUUGACAAGGCCACUCACCACGUAUGCAUGGACUCACCACCUAUGCAUUGUCCAUGCCCUGUGGGCAUACACAAUGGAGGUCUCAGCAUGCCACGUAAGCUGAGGUUAUUAGUUUUACAAUGAAAGCCACUCUACUACAUUUUAUAUUCAACCCUUGCAUCUUUAUAAGUCAGUUAUUCCUUUUUUUUUUCUAUUAGCCAAAUCAAUUGAAUAUUUUACAUUUAAACACCUGAG